Molecule: ribosomal RNA, 456 nt
Filed under: uncultured bacterium
Lineage: Bacteria
Description: bacterial SSU rRNA
Rfam family: Bacterial small subunit ribosomal RNA
Source: RNAcentral
UACGGAAGGCAGCAGUGGGGAAUAUUGCACAAUGGGCGCAAGCCUGAUGCAGCCAUGCCGCGUGUAUGAAGAAGGGCCUUCGGGUUGUAAAGUACUUUCAGUCGUGAGGAAGGUGUUAAGGUUAAUAACCUUAGCAAUUGACGUUAGCGACAGAAGAAGCACCGGCUAACUCCGUGCCAGCAGCCGCGGUAAUACGGAGGGUGCGAGCGUUAAUCGGAAUUACUGGGCGUAAAGGGCACGCAGGCGGUUAAUUAAGUUGGAUGUGAAAUCCCCGGGCUUAACCUGGGAAUGGCAUUCAGGACUGGUUAGCUAGAGUCUUGUAGAGGGGGUAGAAUUCCAUGUGUAGCGGUGAAAUGCGUAGAGAUGUGGAGGAAUACCGGUGGCGAAGGCGGCCCCCUGGACAAAGGACUGACGCUCAUGUGCGAAAGCGUGGGGAGCAAACAGGGAUUAGAUACC